ACUGCGGAAACGUCACAGUUGUGGCCUGG
RNAcentral lists this non-coding RNA (29 nucleotides) under Bombyx mori (domestic silkworm). Lineage: Eukaryota; Metazoa; Arthropoda; Insecta; Lepidoptera; Bombycidae. The record is from RNAcentral.